RNAcentral lists this ribosomal RNA (252 nucleotides) under uncultured bacterium. Its description in RNAcentral is "partial 16S ribosomal RNA". It matches the Rfam family "Bacterial small subunit ribosomal RNA", at positions 524 to 776 of the family's 1533-position model. The record is from RNAcentral.
UACGAAGGGGCUAGCGUUGCUCGGAAUUACUGGGCGUAAAGCGCACGUAGGCGGUCUUUUAAGUCGGGGGUGAAAUCCUGGAGCUCAACUCCAGAACUGCCUUCGAUACUGGAAGACUUGAGUCCGGGAGAGGUGGAGUGGAACUGCGAGUGUAGAGGUGAAAUUCGUAGAUAUUCGCAAGAACACCAGUGGCGAAGGCGGCUCACUGGCCCGGUACUGACGCUGAGGUGCGAAAGCGUGGGAGCAAACAGG